GGAGGCAUAAAAUGGGACCAAUCAAUUUUGCAAGAGUGUGUGUUGAUUUGCUUGAGAAAAAAAAAGAACAAAGAGGAACCAAAUCAAGCUGAAAUGUUUGUUGCAACUCGGAAUGGACUAAAAGGGAAAACACUUGAUGUAGAAACACAAGCUGUUAUUGAUAAACUUGAUGAUCUCCAAGAAGCUAGAGAAACUCCUACUAAUGCAUUUCAAAAAGUUUUUGGUAAAGAGAAUCCAGGAAGAGUUCGAUGUUAUGGAAAAAAUGUUACAAAAACUUCUCUUAAGAAAAUAAAGAAAUAGAUGAAAUCAAAAAAUAAAGUGAAGAGAAGGUAACAGCUUUAAAAACUGAAUUAGACGACCAUAAGCAAUGACUGCAAGGAUUGGAAGAUAUUAUGAAACUUAUGUUGCAACAAACUUCUCCUGGUAUGAAUGUUGAUGAAGCGCUUUCUCUCUUGCGAUCUAAGCAAUU
This is a non-coding RNA of Arachis ipaensis, 469 nucleotides long. The record is from RefSeq and is a predicted model, not a curated record. NCBI's taxonomy places the organism in Eukaryota, Viridiplantae, Streptophyta, Magnoliopsida, Fabales, Fabaceae.